CGGGACGGGUGAGUAACGCGUGGGUAACCUGCCUCAUACAGGGGGAUAACAGUUAGAAAUGGCUGCUAAUACCGCAUAAGCGCACAGGACCGCAUGGUCUGGUGUGAAAAACUCCGGUGGUAUGAGAUGGACCCGCGUCUGAUUAGCUAGUUGGAGGGGUAACGGCCCACCAAGGCGACGAUCAGUAGCCGGCCUGAGAGGGUGAACGGCCGCAUUGGGACUGAGACACGGCCCAG
Molecule: ribosomal RNA, 236 nt
Filed under: uncultured bacterium
Lineage: Bacteria
Description: partial 16S ribosomal RNA
Rfam family: Bacterial small subunit ribosomal RNA
Source: RNAcentral